This 573-nucleotide ribosomal RNA is filed under the name uncultured bacterium. RNAcentral describes it as "bacterial SSU rRNA". It matches the Rfam family "Bacterial small subunit ribosomal RNA", at positions 959 to 1532 of the family's 1533-position model. The record is from RNAcentral.
ACGCGCAGAACCUUACCACCUUUUGACAUGCCUGGACCGCCAGAGAGAUCUGGCUUUCCCUUCGGGGACUAGGACACAGGUGCUGCAUGGCUGUCGUCAGCUCGUGUUGUGAAAUGUUGGGUUAAGUCCCGCAACGAGCGCAACCCUUAUCCUUUGUUGCCAGCGGUUCGGCCGGGAACUCAAAGGAGACUGCCAGUGAUAAACUGGAGGAAGGUGGGGAUGACGUCAAGUCAUCAUGGCCCUUACGAGUAGGGCUACACACGUGCUACAAUGGCAUAUACAAAGAGAAGCGACCUCGCGAGAGCAAGCGGACCUCAUAAAGUAUGUCGUAGUCCGGAUUGGAGUCUGCAACUCGACUCCAUGAAGUCGGAAUCGCUAGUAAUCGUAGAUCAGAAUGCUACGGUGAAUACGUUCCCGGGCCUUGUACACACCGCCCGUCACACCAUGGGAGUGGGUUGCAAAAGAAGUAGGUAGCUUAACCUUCGGGAGGGCGCUUACCACUUUGUGAUUCAUGACUGGGGUGAAGUCGUAACAAGGUAACCGUAGGGGAACCUGCGGCUGGAUCACCUCCUU